Molecule: non-coding RNA, 2031 nt
Organism: Oryzias latipes (Japanese medaka)
Lineage: Eukaryota; Metazoa; Chordata; Actinopteri; Beloniformes; Adrianichthyidae
Source: RefSeq, a predicted model, not a curated record
GGCCGUGAACGCAGCACGUUAUGCAAGCUUUUCACCGGCAGUGAGUCGAGGCUGAGGGAGACCCUCUCACGCUGCUGCGCAGACGGACACAGACAGCAUCCCCUUCAUCAUCUUCAUCACUCAUUAAACACACCGCAGCCUUCGAAAAGUCAUGGAGAAGAAACGAACCAUCAACUUUGGCGCCGGACCCGCAAAACUGCCUCAGUCUGUUCUCCUCCAAGCGCAGAAGGAGCUGCUGGACUACAACGGCAUUGGUGUUAGUGUUCUUGAAAUGAGUCACCGAUCGUCAGACUUCAACAAAAUCAUCAACAAGACAGAGAGUCUUCUGCGAGAGUUGUUAAACAUCCCAGACAACUACAAGGUGCUGUUCCUGCAGGGUGGGGGGUCUGGACAGUUCAGCGCCGUUCCUCUCAACCUGAUUGGUCUCAAAGAGGACAGAUGCGCCGAUUACAUCGUGACCGGCACGUGGUCGGCUAAAGCGGCAAAAGAAGCAGAGAAGUACGGCAAAGUCCGCGUUGUCCACCCAAAGAUGGACAGCUACACCAAAAUUCCCGAGCCCAGCAGCUGGACCCUAAACCCCUCGGCCUCGUACGUGUACUACUGCUGCAACGAGACCGUGCAUGGCGUGGAGUACCACUUCACUCCUGAAACAAACGGGGUGGUGCUCGUCAGCGACAUGUCGUCCAACUUCCUUUCGCGGCCCGUAGACGUGUCGAAGUUUGGGCUCAUUUUCGCCGGGGCUCAGAAAAACGUGGGCUGUGCCGGCGUGACCGUGGUCAUUGUGAGAGAAGACUUGUUAGGCCACGCCCUGAAAGAAUGCCCCAUUGUCCUGGACUACAAGGUGCAGGUGGAAAUGAACUCGCUGUACAACACGCCUCCGUGCUUCAGCAUCUACAUCAUGAAUCUGGUUCUGGAGUGGAUCAAGAACAAUGGAGGCAGCGUCGCCAUGGAGACACUGAACAAGCAGAAGUCCUCCAUCAUUUAUGACAUCAUCAAUGCUUCAAAUGGUUUCUAUGUGUGUCCUGUAGACACGACCUGUCGAAGCCGCAUGAACGUGCCUUUCCGAGUGGGGAAGAAAGAUGGAGAUGACGCCUUGGAAAAGAAGUUUCUGGAUGGAGCGUCGAAACUUGGAAUGAUCUCACUGAAAGGACACAGGUCAGUGGGAGGAAUGCGUGCGUCUCUGUAUAAUGCUGUAACGCUGGAGGACACUGAAGCCUUGGCGGACUACAUGAGGGAAUUCCUCAAAGAGCAUCAAUGAAUGCAGAUGAACGUUGCUCUGUAGAAUUAAUUUACGUCUCACUCCAGUUUUAAUAAAAAAUUCAAUCUUUAGACUUAAGUUAAAUUUCUUUUGGGUUUUCUAACAUAAAUGUUUAGAUACAUUUUUUAAAGUGUUUGGACAAACAACAUUGUAGUGUAAAAAAGUCAUUAAAUAUUAUAAAAAUUUGCAAACUAAUAAAUGUCAUUUGAAAAUGAUUGCGUGUAUCCCAGUUAAGGUCUUCUGACGUUUUGUUAAUAAACACAUUUUUUGUUCAAGAUGUGACUACAACUCAGAGAUAUUUGCUAACAUAUUUCUGUCAAAAUAACAUUUUUAUUAGAAUUUAUUGCUUUACUGUAAACCUAUUCUCCAGUCCCAAAGUUCAGGGGUCUGCAACCUUCAACAUUUUUCGGAUUCAUUUCUCACCGACCAGUAGGAGUCUCGGAAAAAUAAGACGCUGGUUUGUUUAUAAGUUAGUUACUUUUAUGAUAAAUAUAAAUGAACUGAUUUUUUUAUUCAUUUGGCAUAAAUAAAAAAAGACAAAGAAAAAAAUAAUUAUUUUUUGAAUCAUGAGAUAUAUAACUUAUCACAUGACUUCCUUUCAAAAUAAAAGGCACCCUGUUUUACAUAGAAUGAUCUCGGUGCAGGAUAAGUGGUAGAAUAAUGCAAUGUCAGCGGUGAUGAAAAUAAAUAAAUAAAUAACACUGUUUAGUGCACCUCAGUCAGAAAUUCAUAAAUCUGACUAACCAGAAAUAAAUUGGAGCUAUUUAAGUGAA